Long non-coding RNA from Anneissia japonica, 1311 nucleotides. RefSeq lists it as uncharacterized. NCBI's taxonomy places the organism in Eukaryota, Metazoa, Echinodermata, Crinoidea, Comatulida, Comatulidae. The transcript is spliced from 6 exons. The record is from RefSeq and is a predicted model, not a curated record.
UUUGCCAUUUAGUGUUGCUGUACAUACAUAUAAAUAAUGUACUUUAGUUCAUUAAUGUUAUUUUUUUGUUCAGAUAUUGGAAAAUCUAAAAAAAAACACGAAAGAAAAGAUCAGGUACCCAAAGAAGAGUUCGGAAAUGCUCCUCCAGAGAAGAAAAGGAAAAGGUCAGGCACCAAAAGAAGAUAAUGAAGAUUAAGCAAAAUUCCAAAUUUAGGCAGGCCAUUCAACCAAGAGGAAACGAUGCACUCCUUUCUGAAAAUAUAUAUAGAGACCAGUAAUUGAUUUACCACAAUGCUUUACUGCUCUUGACUUACGCACUUUUAUAAAGUUCAACAGGAAGAUAAUGAAGAUUAAGCAAAAUUCCAAAUUUAGGCAGGCCAUUCAACCAAGAGGAAACGACGCACUCCUUUCUGAAAAUAUAUAUAGAGACCAGUAAUUGAUUUACCAUAAUGCUUUACUGCUCUUGACUUACGCACUUUUAUAAAGUUCAACAGGAAGGUAAAUCAUUGGAAUGUACUGGCUUUAAUGCUGGUAUUAAUCACAGGGGAAAUCUAUUCCCUUUAUUGAAGAUUGGACCUAAUUUAAUGUGCCUAAAUUUAAAUGGUUGUAUGUUGUCAAGUGAUAAUGUUAAUGAUAUGAUUAGUAGAUAUCUGAAAAGUGACAAUUAUGUCUUAAAAAUUAUUAUGCUUUGUGGCAAUAAUCUUAGUAACAUUAAUGAAUAUUAAGUACACAUACUUGCAAACCUAAUGUGGUAUUUGUGAAUGGCUGUAAUUGUCAGCUGUUUUUAGAAUUAGUUACUAUGUGUACAGUAUAUAAUUUUAAAAUAAAAUUAAAGAAUUAAUUAUUAGGAAUAAUGAUCUCAGUGACAUUAAGGGACAACAUUGUGUUCUCUGUUUUAAAGUUGCCCCAUUGCUUCAUCAUCUUGACUUGGCACAUUGUAACUGGUGCUGUUUUAAAUGCAAAUGGUCCAAGAGUGUUGGAAUAACAAAAUAACAUCUCCUUUGAAAUGGUUUAUUAUCAGUACAAGAUGCAAGAUAUAAGAGAGACAAUGACAUCCAUGAAGUUAGUUAAAGGUUACAACUUAGAUACCAUUGAAUGCAAUUGGCCCACCCACUUUUUAUUACUAUUAUUUUUUAUUACUAUUAUUUAUUAUUAUUAUUAUUAUUAUUAUUGUAUGUUAUAUUUAUAUAGCGCUAAUGCCAACAAGGCCUCUAAGCGCUUCACAUUACUACCCCCGGUCAUUGGAUUAAACGCCUAUGGAACACAAACUGUUCAAUAUAGUUGCAGCAGCUACGUCAGUGCAUUUUGGCA